RNAcentral lists this long non-coding RNA (204 nucleotides) under Panax ginseng (ginseng). RNAcentral's name for it is "long non-coding RNA (PGIN_LNC005122)". The record is from RNAcentral. Lineage: Eukaryota; Viridiplantae; Streptophyta; Magnoliopsida; Apiales; Araliaceae.
AAAAUAGUCAUUAAUGGUGGUAGACAAGGAAGGGUAGAAAAGGAAACAAAUAGGUAAAAUAUUCUUAGUUUUGUAAAAUGUCAAAUAUUUUGGGAAGAAAAAAACCUUCUAAAACGUAAAAUAUAAUGGGAUGGAGGGAGUAGCAUUUAUCAUCACACACACAUUAACAACAGAGAGAAAAGUAGAGAAAAAGAGAGAAGAAAG